RNAcentral lists this small nuclear RNA (22 nucleotides) under Arabidopsis thaliana (thale cress). RNAcentral describes it as "snRNA_07833". Lineage: Eukaryota; Viridiplantae; Streptophyta; Magnoliopsida; Brassicales; Brassicaceae. The record is from RNAcentral.
AAUACACAACAUACAUUCAAGA